CCUACGGGAGGCAGCAGUGAGGAAUAUUGGUCAAUGGCCGGAAGGCUGAACCAGCCAUGCCGCGUGAAGGUCAGUGCCCUAUGGGCGUUAAACUUCUUUUGUGCGGGAGCAAUAAUGGUCACGUGUGGCCAGACGAGAGUACCGUACGAAUAAGCAUCGGCUAACUCCGUGCCAGCAGCCGCGGUAAUACGGGGAGUGCAAGCGUUAUCCGGAUUUAUUGGGUUUAAAGGGUGCGUAGGCUGUGAGGUAAGUCAGCGGUGAAAUGCCCCCGCUCAACGGGGUGAAGUGCCAUUGAUACUGCCUUGCUGGAAUGCGGAUGCCGUGGGAGGAAUGUGUGGUGUAGCGGUGGAAUGCAUAGAUAUCACACAGAACACCGAUUGCGAAGGCAUCUCACGAAUCCGCGAUUGACGCUGAUGCACGAAAGCGUGGGUAUCAAACAGGAUUAGAUACCCUAGUAGUC
This 460-nucleotide ribosomal RNA is filed under the name uncultured bacterium. RNAcentral's name for it is "partial 16S ribosomal RNA". It matches the Rfam family "Bacterial small subunit ribosomal RNA", at positions 338 to 795 of the family's 1533-position model. The record is from RNAcentral.